This 286-nucleotide ribosomal RNA is filed under the name Chrysomya megacephala (oriental latrine fly). RNAcentral's name for it is "partial large subunit ribosomal RNA". The record is from RNAcentral. Lineage: Eukaryota; Metazoa; Arthropoda; Insecta; Diptera; Calliphoridae.
UGGUAUGAAAGGUUUGACGAGAUAUUAACUGUUUCAUAAAAAUUUAUAAUAGAAUUUUAUUUUUUAGUCAAAAAGCUAAAAUAUAUUUAAAAGACGAGAAGACCCUAUAAAUCUUUAUAUUUAGGUUAUUAUAAUUUUAUAGAUUUUUUUUGUUAUAAUAAUUGAUAAUAUUUUAUUGGGGUGAUAUUAAAAUUUGAUAAACUUUUAAUUGUUUAAAUCAUUAAUUUAUGAAUAAUUGAUCCGUUAUUAGCGAUUAAAAAAAUAAGUUACCUUAGGAAUAACAGCG